RNAcentral lists this ribosomal RNA (459 nucleotides) under uncultured bacterium. RNAcentral describes it as "partial 16S ribosomal RNA". It matches the Rfam family "Bacterial small subunit ribosomal RNA", at positions 338 to 795 of the family's 1533-position model. The record is from RNAcentral.
CCUACGGGUGGCAGCAGUGAGGAAUAUUGGUCAAUGGGAGAGAUCCUGAACCAGCCAAGCCGCGUGAGGGAAGACGGCCCUAUGGGUUGUAAACCUCUUUUGUCGGAGGACAAAACCCGGGACGUGUCCCGGACUGCGUGUAUCCGAAGAAAAAGCAUCGGCUAACUCCGUGCCAGCAGCCGCGGUAAUACGGAGUAUGCGAGCGUUAUCCGGAUUUAUUGGGUUUAAAGGGUGCGUAGGCGGUCCGUUAAGUCAGCGGGAAAAUCGCGGGGCUCAACCCCGUCGAGCCGUUGAAACUGGCAGGCUUGAGUGGACGAGCAGUACGCGGAAUGCGCGGUGUAGCGGAGAAAUGCGUAGAUAUCACGCAGAACUCCGAUUGCGAAGGCAGCGUACCGGCGCCAGACUGACGCUGAGGCACGAAAGCGUGGGGAGCGAACAGGAUUAGAUACCCUUGUAGUC